Megalobrama amblycephala (Wuchang bream) is the source of this 1716-nucleotide RNA transcript. It is a transcript of the gene named glutathione S-transferase A2-like, with no coding region annotated. Lineage: Eukaryota; Metazoa; Chordata; Actinopteri; Cypriniformes; Xenocyprididae. The transcript is spliced from 7 exons. The record is from RefSeq and is a predicted model, not a curated record.
GCAUAGUUCACACACCAUAGACUGUCUGCUGCACAGCGAAGAGUUUUGAAGUGUCACUUUAUUUAGUGAAAAUGUCUGGGAAAGUUGUGUUGCAUUACUUCAAUGGAAGAGGGAAAAUGGAGUCAAUCCGAUGGCUUUUGGCCACAGCUGGAGUCGAGUUUGAGGAGGUGUUUUUGACCAAAAGGGAGCAUUAUGAUAAACUGCUGAAUGAUGGAGCCCUGAUGUUUCAGCAGGUGCCUUUGGUUGAAAUAGAUGGGAUGCAGCUUGUCCAGACAAAGGCUAUCUUGAAUUACAUCGCUGGAAAAUACAACCUCUAUGGAAAAGACCUUAAAGAACGGGCUUUGAUUGACAUGUAUUCAGAGGGAACCCUCGAUCUAAUGGAACUUAUCUUGCUGUUGGCUAUUGCGCCACCUGAAGACAAGCAGAAACAGCUCAGUAAUAUAGAGCAAAAGGCAAAAGAGCGCUUCAUGCCUGUGUUUGAAAAGGGUCUUGCAAACUCUGAUUUCCUGGUGGGAAACCAGUUGAGCCGCGCUGACGUUCACCUUCUGGAAGCCACUCUGAUGCUGCAGGAGUUAUUCCCUACAAUACUGUCAACCUUUCCCAAAAUCCAGAAUCCAUGAUGCCAUUUAUCUGAACAUGAUGUCCAGGACCUCUGGCAGAAAAAUAGGCCCAUAAUUUCAAAGAUCCAGCAGUGUGGUGUACUUUUUAUCCCUGUGUGCACCAAACCCAUCUGUCUAGUUCCAUUACAGAGGACUAGAUCAUAACAUCUGCGAGUAAAGAUGAGCACAACAAACACAGAUCUGUUCCAGGAGAUUGUGGACUCCCUCCACCGUAUGCUCACAUUGCCAGCCGUCAUGCCCAUUGCCACACCAUUCACCUCUUCAUCACCGCCUGUCAUCGCCAGUCCCAUGGUCCCAGCAGUGCCUGGUUCAGCGGAGGAUUGCAGUGGAUUAUACUCCAAUACUCCAGAACCAGUAGAAGAACAUCUGCAAGUGCAACAAGAAACAAGAUUUCAAACAGAAACAAGAUUAUUUUUCUUUCCCCAUUGGCAGAUAAUUUUGCUCAUUUUAAUCAAAAACUUACUUCAUUUUGAUUUUUUUUCUUCCAGAAAACAAGAAAAAAUAUCUGUCAUUUUACUUAUCUAGUAAUCUGGAUUUAAGAAUUGUUAGAUAUUUAAACUGGAAACAAGACAAAAAUAUUAAAUAAGAAAAGCAUUUUUUGCAGUGUACAAAUAUUUUCGAUAGUUACAGCUGUAUUUUUACGAGUCAGAGUUAUAAGUUAGAAAACUGGCUUGCGAUAGUACUGUUUAAUGUCAUAAACUAGGAUGACGUAGCAUUUUUUAAAAUCUAAAUUAGUCUAUACAUGCACAAAUGAACGUUUUUCGGUGCUCAAGAUUUUUACUUUAUUUUUCAUUCAUUCGAUCAGCAGACGCUUGUCUGAAAAGCUUAAGCUGUAGAAAACUGUUCCAGGAAACGGUGUAAUAAUAUAUUUACUCAAUAACUCGAGUGGGAUUAUUGAUAUCAGCAUUUGUAUUCACAAGAUUAUUUGUGUAGAUGAGUGUGUUAGCAGGACGGUAGGUGAAAGUUUGUGCCUUUUGUCCUGAUGCCCAUUUAGCACCACCCACGAAGUACAAAACACCCUGAAUAGUCAAUACAAAACACACUACACAGUGCACACACUGUUGCAUAACAAAGAGUUUUGAAGUGUCACUUUAUU